GAGUUUGAUCAUGGCUCAGAUUGAACGCUGGCGGCAUGCCUUACACAUGCAAGUCGAACGGCAGCAUGAUCUAGCUUGCUAGAUUGAUGGCGAGUGGCGAACGGGUGAGUAAUACAUCGGAACGUGCCCUGUAGUGGGGAUAACUAGUCGAAAGAUUAGCUAAUACCGCAUACGACCUGAGGGUGAAAGUGGGGGACCGCAAGGCCUCAUGCUAUAGGAGCGGCCGAUGUCUGAUUAGCUAGUUGGUGGGGUAAGGCCCACCAAGGCGACGAUCAGUAGCUGGUCUGAGAGGACCGAUCAGCCACACUGGGACUGAGACACGGGCCCAGGACUCCUACGGGAGGCAGCAGUGGGGAACUUUGGACAAUGGGCGAAAGCCUGA
This 382-nucleotide ribosomal RNA is filed under the name uncultured microorganism. RNAcentral's name for it is "bacterial SSU rRNA". It matches the Rfam family "Bacterial small subunit ribosomal RNA", at positions 9 to 386 of the family's 1533-position model. The record is from RNAcentral.